This is a long non-coding RNA of Gasterosteus aculeatus aculeatus (three-spined stickleback), 896 nucleotides long. The record is from Ensembl. Lineage: Eukaryota; Metazoa; Chordata; Actinopteri; Perciformes; Gasterosteidae.
CACAACUAAACAAUAUGUACAAAAAGACAGUUGAGGACUUGAUUUCUUUCAGAAAGUGCACGAAAAAAACAGUCAGGCUGCGUACACAGUCUCAAAGAACUUUGACUGAUGUAAUGUGGAAAAAGCUCAGACAGAAUUAGGUUAAGUGGACAAGAGGCUAAAACACACACACGCACACACACACACACACACACUCUGUACAGUGUUUUAUAAUUCUAUACACCAUAUGUGGAGAAGCACAAAUCAGCUAGUCCUAAAGAAUUACACUGAAUCGAGUAACGUUUAACGUAUCUAAAGUGCUAAAAAACAAACAAACAAACACACAUUCAUACCGUUUUUGUACUUAAAUCCGAUGCGUAGUUUCCAAGUAUCGAUACAAUCGAUUAUGUACCAUUUCAAUCGAUUUGUAAUCAAUAUAUGUCGUCCGGAAUGCCGAUUUUGCGGAGCACAGAUCGGUUCAGUUGGAUCGCAGGAAUAUAAAUCGAUUAAUCGAUUCAGUGAAUGAAUCGUUACACCCCUAUUUUUUCCCCUUUAGGCAAGAAUGGAACCAGUAAAUAAAACCAGCUUUUUCAGCCAUUGAAAACAAGGGUAUGACGCUUAGGAAUGCCACACUAAUAGAACAGCCCUUUUUGUACCAUCAUGAGGGAAAGUAUUGUUGACAAUGUGUGCUAUUACUUGGAAAUCUACUGUACAUUCUUAUCCAAUACGUUGUCUCGUUCCUUCCAGAUAACUUUUGGCCCAUUUAUGCAGACACAAGAGGCCGGCAACACUGUUGUCGUUAUCUCACUGAAAAGUAGCUCGUAUUUGACUUUUAACCAAAGCUGCAAUGAAUGCACACUUUUUAAUAUAGGUAAAAACAUCCCGUCUGAUACUGAUCAACUGACGUCUGGUAUAGA